CCCCCUGAAAGCGGCGAACGGGUGAGUAACACGUAGGUGACCUACCCUAGAGACGGGGAUAGCCUGCAGAGAUGCGGGGUAAUACCCGGUACGCUCGUCGGCUUAGAGGCCGGCGAGGAAAGGCGCAAGCCGCUCUUGGAUGGGCCUGCGGCCCAUUAGCUAGUUGGUGAGGUAACGGCCCACCAAGGCGACGAUGGGUAGCUGGUCUGAGAGGACGUCCAGCCACACUGGGACUGAGACAUGGUCCAGACUCCUACGGGAGUUAGCAUCGGGGGAUAUUGCACAAUCGGCGAAAGCCGGAUGCAGUGACGCCGCGUGCAGGAUGAAGGCCUUCGGGUUGUAAACUGCUGUCGGGUGGGAUGAACGCCGGGAGUGAUGUCUCGGGCUGACAGUACCACCCAAGAAAGCCCCAGCUAACUACGUGCCAGCAGCUGCGGUAAGACGUAGGGGGCGAGCGUUGUCCGGAAUCACUGGGCGUAAAGGGCGUCUAGGCGGCUUGGUCAGCGGAAUGUGAAAGCUCAGGGCUCAACCCUGAUAUGCCGUUCCGAACUGCCAGGCUUGAGUACGGGAGUGGGUAGUGGAAUUCCCGGUGUAGCGGUGAAAUGUUUAGAUAUCGGGAG
Molecule: ribosomal RNA, 620 nt
Filed under: uncultured bacterium
Lineage: Bacteria
Description: bacterial SSU rRNA
Rfam family: Bacterial small subunit ribosomal RNA
Source: RNAcentral